Molecule: long non-coding RNA, 265 nt
Organism: Arabidopsis thaliana (thale cress)
Lineage: Eukaryota; Viridiplantae; Streptophyta; Magnoliopsida; Brassicales; Brassicaceae
Product: other RNA
Exons: 1
Source: RefSeq
UUGUUGUGUGUGGUGUCAUUGCUGACCAAGUGUGCCAUGUUUGAUGUGACUCUUUUUCCUUGACUAAACAAAACAGCACUCCAAUCGGUCUUUUCUUUUAUGUCAGCAGAAUUUUUGUACUUGUAAAUAUCCAAUUGAAAAUGAAUCUAUAUUGUUGUUAAUAAUCGAGCAAACAAAGUGAAUUCCAAACUGACUAGUAUUGUUGAUUACAUUUGACACUGUUCUGGUUCGGAAUUAAUAAAUUUGUCCUAGUUGGUUAGUUGUG